GUUUUUAUGAGUUGAGAUUUUUUUUAAUGAUUUCUGUUGUUUAUAGGAGAACGGUUAGGAUGGUGAAUGUCAUUUGGUGUGGUAAUGUGGAGACUAAUGAUUUUGAUGUUGGUGAUGUUGCUUUUGGUGCUAGGGCAUGGUUUUGAUGUUUGCGAUGCUAUUUUUGGGUCAAGUCUAAAGGAGAUUAAGGAAUUCAAGAUCACCAAUAUCAUCUGGAAGACUUCCAUUAAAGGAACUUUCUUUUGGGUCAAGUAAUUUAGUGGUUAGACUCGCACACCUUGAGUCUGGAGAUGUCGAGAAUCUCAUAUUUGAACCUAAGUCCCUGCAUAUCAAUGCCCUUGCAGAAACUACCUACUGAUCUAUACUUACAGGUAAUGGAACAUAUUAAGAGAAAUACAAUUACCAACAACAUUGGUAGUUUGAAUAGGUCUAGUGGAAGAGUCCCGGGUGCAUACGUAUCUUAGGCUAGAUAGUUGUCUUCAAAUAGCAUUAUGCAAUUUGAGGAUAGCCAUUAUUAAAAUGUUUUUGAAUUGGUAUAAAUUAAAUGUUUAACCUUUUGUAUUUGUACACCAAAGUGUUUGUGUAAAAUUGUAGAUUGAGCUCCUGCUAUCUGCUAUUAUUAGUCUUAUUGUUUGAGUUUGAACUUGUAUUAGCAGUAUUGGCACAAUGACACUUUCACUUUUUUGGAAUUUGUGUAGGGUCUGAUUCAAUCUUACAAAAUCGGCUUGUAAGGUGAGGAUUAUCUCCACGUAUAAACACAUAAUCCAAUGUAGGACUCAUAACAUGCCCCAUCACGUCCAGAAGUAGGAUUGAACAUUUGGAGCAUGAUUCGAGUGGCAUGAUAGUAGUGACCUGAUGGCAGAUGACCUACCGGAUCUUGGAUAGGCUUUGAUACUUUUUUAGAAUUUGGAUUGGACCUAACUUAACCGUACGAAACCAACUUGUACGGUGAGGUGGAGACUACCUCCACAUAUGAUAAAGACCUCAAGAGCACGAAGAUGAUCCUAUUUUAAUAAAUUAGGAUAAAUUUUAUUUAUUUUAAUUUGGUUUAUAAUAAUUCUUAGUUUGCUUUAAUUUGGAAUUGUAAUAGUUUUAAUAUAAAUUUAGUUGAUGUCAUGUAAGUGAAGAUACUUUGGUUCUUGACAUUUAACUUAUUUUAUAAAAAUAUGAUGUAAGUCCAACAUAGGUCUUGAAAAUGGUGUUACUUGUGACUUUUUAGGUUUAUAGAGAGUCUUACUAUAAAUAUGCA
Molecule: long non-coding RNA, 1249 nt
Filed under: Cicer arietinum (chickpea)
Lineage: Eukaryota; Viridiplantae; Streptophyta; Magnoliopsida; Fabales; Fabaceae
Description: long non-coding RNA (CARI_LNC003097)
Source: RNAcentral